AGAGUUUGAUCCUGGCUCAGAAUCAACGCUGGCGGCGUGCCUAACACAUGCAAGUCGCACGAGAAAGGGUAGCAAUACCUGAGUACAGUGGCGCACGGGUGAGUAACACGUGAAUUAUCUACCUCCGAGUGGGGAAUAACCUAGAGAAAUCUGGGCUAAUACCGCAUAACACUUACGAGUCAAAGCAGCAAUGCGCUUGGAGAGGAGUUCGCGGCCGAUUAGUUAGUUGGCGGGGUAAUGGCCCACCAAGACGAUGAUCGGUAUCCGGCCUGAGAGGGCGCACGGGCACACUGGAACUGAAACACGGUCCAGACUCCUACGGGAGGCAGCAGUGGGGAAUUUUGCGCAAUGGGGGAAACCCUGACGCAGCAACGCCGCGUGGAGGAUGAAAUCCCUUGGGAUGUAAACUCCUUUCGAUCGGGACGAUUAUGACGGUACCGGAAGAAGAAGCCCCGGCUAACUUCGUGCCAGCAGCCGCGGUAAUACGAGGGGGGCAAGCGUUGUUCGGAAUUAUUGGGCGUAAAGGGCGCGUAGGCGGUUUGACAAGUCUGAUGUGAAAUCUCUGGGCUCAACUCAGAGUCUGCAUCGGAAACUGUCGGGCUUGAGUAUGGGAGAGGUGCGUGGAAUUUCCGGUGUAGCGGUGAAAUGCGUAGAUAUCGGAAGGAACACCUGUGGCGAAAGCGGCGCACUGGACCAUAACUGACGCUGAGGCGCGAAAGCUAGGGGAGCAAACAGGAUUAGAUACCCUGGUAGUCCUAGCCCUAAACGAUGAUUGCUUGGUGUGGCAGGUACCCAAUCCUGCCGUGCCGAAGCUAACGCGAUAAGCAAUCCGCCUGGGGAGUACGGUCGCAAGGCUGAAACUCAAAGGAUUUGACGGGGCCCGCACAAGCGGUGGGAGCAUGUGGUUUAAUUC
This 913-nucleotide ribosomal RNA is filed under the name uncultured bacterium. RNAcentral's name for it is "bacterial SSU rRNA". It matches the Rfam family "Bacterial small subunit ribosomal RNA", at positions 8 to 952 of the family's 1533-position model. The record is from RNAcentral.